AGUGAACGCUGGCGGUAGGCCUAACACAUGCAAGUCGAACGGCAGCACAGUAAGAGCUUGCUCUUACGGGUGGCGAGUGGCGGACGGGUGAGGAAUACAUCGGAAUCUACUUUUUCGUGGGGGAUAACGUAGGGAAACUUACGCUAAUACCGCAUACGACCUACGGGUGAAAGCAGGGGAUCUUCGGACCUUGCGCGAUUGAAUGAGCCGAUGUCGGAUUAGCUAGUUGGCGUGGUAAAGGCCCACCAAGGCGACGAUCCGUAGCUGGUCUGAGAGGAUGAUCAGCCACACUGGAACUGAGACACGGUCCAGACUCCUACGGGAGGCAGCAGUGGGGAAUAUUGGACAAUGGGCGAAAGCCUGAUCCAGCAAUACCGCGUGGGUGAAGAAGGCCUUCGGGUUGUAAAGCCCUUUUGUUGGGAAAGAAAAGCAGCAGGUUAAUACCCCGCUGUUCUGACGGUACCAAAAGAAUAAGCACCGGCUAACUUCGUG
Molecule: ribosomal RNA, 492 nt
Filed under: uncultured bacterium
Lineage: Bacteria
Description: partial 16S ribosomal RNA
Rfam family: Bacterial small subunit ribosomal RNA
Source: RNAcentral